CCUACGGGCGGCAGCAGUGGGGAAUAUUGGACAAUGGGGGGAACCCUGAUCCAGCCAUGCCGCGUGUGUGAAGAAGGCCCUCGGGUUGUAAAGCACUUUCAGUGAGGAAGAACGCCUGGUGGUUAAUACCCAUCAGGAAAGACAUCACUCACAGAAGAAGCACCGGCUAACUCCGUGCCAGCAGCCGCGGUAAUACGGAGGGUGCGAGCGUUAAUCGGAAUUACUGGGCGUAAAGCGCGCGUAGGUGGCUUGAUAAGCCGGUUGUGAAAGCCCCGGGCUCAACCUGGGAACGGCAUCCGGAACUGGCAAGCUAGAGUGUAGGAGAGGAAGGUAGAAUUCCCGGUGUAGCGGUGAAAUGCGUAGAGAUCGGGAGGAAUACCAGUGGCGAAGGCGGCCUUCUGGACUGAGACUGACACUGAGGUGCGAAAGCGUGGGGAGCAAACAGGAUUAGAUACCCCAGUAGUC
This 465-nucleotide ribosomal RNA is filed under the name Vreelandella stevensii. RNAcentral describes it as "partial 16S ribosomal RNA". It matches the Rfam family "Bacterial small subunit ribosomal RNA", at positions 338 to 795 of the family's 1533-position model. The record is from RNAcentral. Lineage: Bacteria; Pseudomonadati; Pseudomonadota; Gammaproteobacteria; Oceanospirillales; Halomonadaceae.